RNAcentral lists this ribosomal RNA (805 nucleotides) under Orpinomyces sp. NRFI-3. Its description in RNAcentral is "eukaryotic LSU rRNA". The stretch from base 1 to 173 matches the Rfam family "Eukaryotic small subunit ribosomal RNA", at positions 1661 to 1831 of the family's 1831-position model. The record is from RNAcentral. Lineage: Eukaryota; Fungi; Neocallimastigomycota; Neocallimastigomycetes; Neocallimastigales; Neocallimastigaceae.
UGUACACACCGCCCGUCGCUACUACCGAUUGAAUGGCUUAGUGAAUCCUUCGGAUUGGCUAUUUUUUUCUGGCAACAGAAUUAAACUGCUAAAAAGUUGGGCAAACUUGGUCAUUUAGAGGAAGUAAAAGUCGUAACAAGGUUUCCGUAGGUGAACCUGCGGAAGGAUCAUUAAAAAAUAAUCACAGUUUUGUGAUUUUAAUAAUCAUCCUACCCUUUGUGAAUUUGUUUUGUAAAGAAAUUUAUGUUGUCUAUCCCUUGGAUUAUUUGGAAAAGUUGAAAGACUUUUUCAUUUACCAAGGGAAUAGGCUUUCAUAGACAUUUUUUUAAAUUAAACAUUUGUAUUCAUUUGUCUAAAUUUAUUUUUAAUAAUUUAAAAACAACUUUUGACAAUGGAUCUCUUGGUUCUCGCAACGAUGAAGAACGCAGCAAAAUGCGAUAAGUAAUGUGAAUUGCAGAAUACGUGAAUCAUCAAAUCUUCGAACGCAUAUUGCACUUUUCUAGUUUACUAGAAAAGUAUGUCUGUUUGAGUAUCAGUAAAAUAUUCUCAUAAAAACUUUUUUGUUUUUAUGGUUAUGAGUGUUUUACAACGAUAAACAAGUUGUUUCACUUUAAAUUGAUUUUUAAAAGCCAAUUUUUGGUUUUAUCAAUAAAAUUGGAUAAAAUUUUCCCGUAAAAAGGAAUAAACUUUUCAGUUUUAAAGAUAAAACUUGAUUGUGCCUAAUAAAAGGAAAUUUAACAAAAUAACUUGAUCUCAAAUCAGAUAAGAGUACCCGCUGAACUUAAGCAUAUUAAUAAGCGGAGGA